GUUACAUUUGAUUUCAAAAAUACAAUAUCAUAAUUUGGUGUGAAAAAUGCAACAGGCAAAAGGAGGGAACCAAUUGUCUUGGCUUCCUUUCCAAUGCCCAUCAUAUGUGCACAGGUGAAUAAGAUUUUGAGAGAAAGUGCACAUUGCUCUUUCAAAGCCAGCACAUUCCUCCAGAAUCAAUAAUGAUCCUUCCGCAGGUUCACCUACGGAAA
RNAcentral lists this unclassified non-coding RNA (212 nucleotides) under uncultured fungus. RNAcentral's name for it is "sequence contains ITS1". The record is from RNAcentral. Lineage: Eukaryota; Fungi.